UACGUAGGGUGCGAGCGUUGUCCGGAAUUACUGGGCGUAAAGAGCUCGUAGGUGGUUUGUCGCGUUGUCCGUGAAAACUCACAACUCAAUUGUGGGCGUGCGGGCGAUACGGGCAGACUGGAGUACUGCAGGGGAGACUGGGAUUCCUGGUGUAGCGGUGGAAUGCGCAGAUAUCAGGAGGAACACCGGUGGCGAAGGCGGGUCUCUGGGCAGUAACUGACGCUGAGGAGCGAAAGCGUGGGGAGCGAACAGG
This 253-nucleotide ribosomal RNA is filed under the name uncultured bacterium. Its description in RNAcentral is "partial 16S ribosomal RNA". It matches the Rfam family "Bacterial small subunit ribosomal RNA", at positions 524 to 776 of the family's 1533-position model. The record is from RNAcentral.